Molecule: long non-coding RNA, 854 nt
Organism: Pantherophis guttatus
Lineage: Eukaryota; Metazoa; Chordata; Lepidosauria; Squamata; Colubridae
Source: RefSeq, a predicted model, not a curated record
AGACUGGACUCUUUGUAAUAAGGCUGAACAUUUGAAUCCUUCCACUGCAAUAUCAAAGGUUUUGGGUUGGCAUCUUUCAACCACAAAAUAUUUCACACGCUUCUACUAUUUGGGUUCCCCAGAGGUGGAGAGAAUGUUACCUAGCAACCGAAAGAAGACAAUUAACAGUUAAAAAUGGUCUGUGGAAGGACUGUAGCUUCCCUUCUUCCAAAUUACUAUUGGGAACCUCAGUCCUAUUUGGACCAUGUCAGCGAUUACACAUUUUUUAUCAGAUGACCAAUCAAAAAUGAAAAUCAUUUAUCUCAUUAAAUCAAAAAAAGGAAAACACAAAUAGCGGUUGACUAGUUAAUAACCAACUUGCCUUGAUGGCCAAAUGGUAUUUGCAGGCACAAGAAGAUCGUACAAGACAAUUAAACUUGUUCAGUCUCAGAGAAAGAAAGUCUGAGGAUUUGGAACCAGGCAACUUUACUUUUGCUUUCAAUUUCCCCCCCAAAAGCAAUAAGAUCAUAAUGUCAUUAUUUGAGGACAGAAUUAACAGGCAACAGAUAAUACAACUUUCUCCACCAACAAAAUCCUUGAUGAUGCUUUAGCAUGGCUCUUCCCUUCCUCCUUCCUGGACUUUACAGAGACAUAAAAUCUAAACCACGUACUUCUGCAGAUGUUGUUUCUGAUUCAUCUUUUCCUAAUUUGGGGAGAGUUUAGAAGUACCAAAUUGAACUCCGAGCUUGCAAGUUCAUUUUGGUUCAUUAUUUUUCCUGUUGGAGCCACAAAAUCAAUCCACCCAGCCGACAUAUUAUCUCUGGAUUCUGAAUCUAACGCUUUUCUUAAUACAAUCCAUUUCAGGAAAUGUAAAA